This 182-nucleotide ribosomal RNA is filed under the name Burkholderia cenocepacia. RNAcentral describes it as "partial 23S ribosomal RNA". It matches the Rfam family "Bacterial large subunit ribosomal RNA", at positions 2755 to 2925 of the family's 2925-position model. Lineage: Bacteria; Pseudomonadati; Pseudomonadota; Betaproteobacteria; Burkholderiales; Burkholderiaceae. The record is from RNAcentral.
UCGGAAGAGAUAACCGCUGAAAGCAUCUAAGCGGGAACUCGCCUUAAGAUGAGACGUAUCCUGGGGACUAGAUCCCCUUGAAGGGUCGUUCGAGACCAGGACGUUGAUAGGUCAGGUGUGUAAGCGCAGUAAUGCGUUCAGCUAACUGAUACUAAUUGCCCGUAAGGCUUGAUCCUAUAACA